CUCUGUGGCGUCCCCGCCCCUCCUACCGUCUUGCCUCUGGCGUCUUGCGUAAUGACGUCACCACUUGCCCCGCUCAGAAGCCUGGGAGUCCUCUGGCCUCCUUCUUUCUCGCUGCCCCCCACACCCCCACUCCCCCUCCACCCCCCCGCCUUGGCAGUCGGCCGUUCCAGCCUCCAUGCCCUCCCCUGGAUUCCCCCUCCCACCCCCUGGUUACGACCUGGGCCAUCUUUAACUGGAUGACUGUGCUGUCCCACCCAUCCUUGGGUCUCCCGGCUAGGAUAUGUCCAAUCCAACCCACCCGCUGCGCUGGCUCCUGAGAGCUCUCAUAAAAUCAAACUCUGCUCAUGCAGCGUCCACCUAAAGGCCCCCAGUAGCUGCCAUUUCCUCGGACCCAAACUCUUCACAGCUGCAGCCAAACUUCCAGAAGCACCUGACUCGCUCGCACAGAUCCUUCCGUCUGGCCAAACCGGAAGUUGUUUUUUCUCCCCUAGGCCAGAGCCUCUGAGUCCCUUGGGCCUUGGCUCCAGCUGUGCGCUCCCCGCCCUGCCUAGACUAUCCAGUGCCCGCCUGGUGCUCUGCAUCCAGAAGGCCCUGGGUGGUGAGCUGCCCUGCUCCCCCUGCACCCAGGCCGGGGCUGGAUUUUGGCUGAGGAAGAUGGAGCCUGGGGUGACCGUCCCUCAGGAUCUCUGA
RNAcentral lists this long non-coding RNA (690 nucleotides) under Felis catus (domestic cat). RNAcentral describes it as "lncRNA (ENSFCAG00000046623.2)". Lineage: Eukaryota; Metazoa; Chordata; Mammalia; Carnivora; Felidae. The record is from RNAcentral.